This is a non-coding RNA of Phrynosoma platyrhinos (Desert horned lizard), 74 nucleotides long. The record is from the annotation of a GenBank genome assembly. Lineage: Eukaryota; Metazoa; Chordata; Lepidosauria; Squamata; Phrynosomatidae.
GCCAGUGUGGCAUAACAGUUUGAGCACUGGACUCGGACUCUUGAGUGACCAGGGUUCAAAUCCCAGCUCAGCCA